This is a long non-coding RNA of Aegilops tauschii subsp. strangulata, 1394 nucleotides long. RefSeq lists it as uncharacterized. Lineage: Eukaryota; Viridiplantae; Streptophyta; Magnoliopsida; Poales; Poaceae. The record is from RefSeq and is a predicted model, not a curated record.
CAAGUCUCCUUCCGUGCAGCCACACCCCACGACGCUCCUUUCGUCUCUCUGACUCUCGCGCACGAGACCUACCCUCGCCUACCCUAGGUGCGCCGCCGCCGCCAUGGUCUUCAUCUCGCAGCUCCUCAAUCGCCCCGUCGGAGCGGCGUCUCCGUCUACGUACGCCUACUCGCGGUUGUCCUCUUUCUCCUGUAUUCCCUAAAGGUGCAGCAGGGAGCAUCUUUUUCUUGAGGCGGCGAUGAGCUACAUCCCCAAAUCGGUGGCGCACUAAAUCCCUGAAGCAUGUGUUCGAUUUUUCAAGCCAUGUCUGGAGUUCUCACGCGCGCCGUCGCGAGAUCCACCACGUCGAGCAACCAGCCGGAGGGGGGAUUUUAUAAUUCACUGUUAAAAUGUGGAGUCGUGACGAGACCAGGUUACUUGCAGAGAGGUUAGCAGGGCGACACGUCCCUGCUUCGGGCCUCACGGACCUCACGCCGAUCAGGUGGUGUCCAUACUGGUUGGAGUCAAUUGUUUCGGGUAAAUCUUGGAGACUGGUUCUGGCAUUUUGAUUUGGGGAAUCUUUUAGUCUUCAAUCUCAAAUGGCCAUUGGACAGGUUAUUACUAGCGCAUUUUGGGAAUUCUUAAGUUUCCACCCCCGGUGGAUAGCGGCACUUAAUUUUGUUUUAAAGUUCUCUAUUUGUUGAUUUGGUUUUCCAUCAUUCCAAGUUAAAUGGAUUUGUGCAGAUUUUCUCUAAAGUAAAUGAUUGGUCAAGGCAGAUGAUUACCGACGCUAGAGUAGCAAUUAAGCAGAUUUUCUCUAAGAAUUACUUCAUGUUCUGGUUCCUUUUUCUGUUAUGUCUUGUGAGCAUACACAAAGAUGUCCAGGGAAUAUAUAUCUUCUCCAAGAAGCAAAUGCUGGUGCUGAUGUGAAUAAAAUUGACUAUAUGGGCAUUACUUGAUGGCAGCAAUGAACAGUGUCCUACCUGGUAUGAUGAACUGCUUACUAGAUGCUGGUGUUAACCCAAAUGUUCCUGCCAGAAUGAGUUAAUGAGUCUUAUAUUAUUUCCUCCUCUGCCUUUGUGAUCCCAUUUUCAUGCAGUACAAAGUUAAAAGUAGUUUUAUGUUUUUGUUUCAAGGAUACUGGAAGAGGGGAUCUUGAUUGUUGAGGUCAUUAAAGUAAACUUCACUAUUUAGAUUGAUAAAGUUGAAAUCUGAUCUUACUUCCUGCGUUAUAAUUUUCAUUUCCACUAGAGGAUUUCACUUUCAUUACCAGUGCUGAUGUUUUGUUUAGCAUGGCUUGGGAUAUUUCAUGUUCAUGUAUCAAAGACUCAUUACCAGCGUUGAUGUUUUAUUUAGCAUUGUUGCUAAUUCAUAUAUUUCCUUAAAAUUUAAAAGGAAAUAGUAUUAUCAUCUAA